Molecule: long non-coding RNA, 2021 nt
Filed under: Marmota monax (woodchuck)
Lineage: Eukaryota; Metazoa; Chordata; Mammalia; Rodentia; Sciuridae
Source: RNAcentral
UGAUAACUGACUUGCUGUCCAAGAAAAAGAACCCCUCGGGAGGCAUCCAGGUGAGGAGCACCAGAGCUGCUGAUGGCCGAAACAGGUUUGGGAUGGAUCGUGACUUAUUAGGAAUAAAAAAAAAAAAAGAAACAAAGAAAGAAACCCAGCGUAUUUCAUUCUGGCUGUUUAAAAGACUUCAUGAGGGCUUAAAAUGACAGCAGUGAACAUCAGAUGGUAGCAAUCUGGUACCUUUCCUGUCAAGUGACAAGCUGUUCUAAAAUCCAGAAGUGCUUUAGGUCCACUUUAUAAUGGAGCUAAUAUUUUUUUUAAAAAUUGGACACGUAACAUUUGGUUCAGGAGAGCUUUGUAAUGUACUUGGGAGAGUCAUUUGCAUGUGUUCCACCUAUUUACAGUAUUUUAUAUGGACUCAGCAUUCAUUAGAAAAAAAAUGCUACUACCAACAAUGACCAAGUAUGAAGUCAGUGACUUUGCUGAAUUAAAAAGGCCCUAGCAAGUGUACUUCUACCAUAAUUUAGUGCAAAAGUACUUCAGGGAGUUAUUUCAUACCUAAAUUGGUCGUGCCUGCUCUAACCAACUUACCCCAGGAUUUUCUUUUGAAAUCUUCCAUUUUUAAUUAGGAAUCAUCUGAAUUAUCAUGUAGGAGAGAGAGAAAGAAGGAAAAGGAAGGAAGAAUGGAUAGAGAGAAAAAGAACCUUCAAAAUAUCUCUAGAAGUAGUAGCCCUGUUCUUACCAACUUGGCUGUUUCCACCCUGGUCCAAGGCACCACCAUCUUGGGCCUGACUUCCUACAGUAGCCUACUAAGGUUCUCAGGGUUUCUACCCUGACCACUCUACUUUACCUGGGUAAAAUAAAAAUAUAGAUCCUUUUGUUUAAAAAUAUAUGAAAGUAAAUGUCAUUGAAGUACAAAAAUAUAAAAUGUUUUCCUUUCUUUCAUGACAUUCAGUUUGUCGUGGCAUUUUUUACUUGCUACUCAAUAUCAUGCUUCCAAGGAUGUGGGAAUCCUCGCAAGGUGAGUACAGACCCUGAAGGUGAUGGAGCACCAUCUCACACACAGAGCAGUGAUAGCAGCACACCUCCACAAGGUGCUGCAGAAAGACAAUCGCCCUUUCCCGUGGACCUGCAACCCCAACCCAUGGAUGGGAGGUCCCCAAGGAUAUAAAGGAAGAGCCAAAUAUUUCCUGUGCUCACAAGAAAGGAAAGGAGGAGGUAGGUCCAGAUUAAGCCAGCAGAGAUUUGGUUAAACUUUGAGUUUGUUUUUUUUCAAAACCAUCAUUUUCCUCUAGUAAUUUUGUCAUUUUCUAUCUAAUUUAUCCUUCAAUCAAUAACUACCAAGGGUAGAAAAUGUCAGAGAAAAUGUCAGAGAAGUUGAAACAAAAAAAUAUAUAUAAAUGUGAAAUAUAAUGUUAUACUUAGAUAUUUUAUGUAAACACCUCAUGUUUUAAAUUAUUUGGAAUCUCUUGAAUGAUUCUUAUGAUAAUUCUAAAUUAGUCUCAAAGCAUCUUCACAUUUUUUUAAUGGUCAUACAAGUCUCAGCUGUUUCGCUACAAGAAAUUCUUAUUUAAUAGAACACAGGUGGAAAUUUUGAAUUUACAGCUAUGCAUUACAAGUAUUUGUUGAGUCAAGUACUAGUUGCACAACUUUUUUCUUUUCUAACAAUUCUUAUGCCCACAUUGAGGGCAUCAAAAGGGGAAGAGACAGGAAUCUGUGAGAAGACAAACUGCAGAGAGCUGUUGGUGGCCAUGAAUCCCCAUUUUCUGCCUCGCACAGGGAAGGCUAAGGAAUGUGCCUCCAGGUCCAGGCUUGCUGAGCCUACCUUGCACCAGACUCUAGCUCGAGUGGAACCUUGUUAGAGUCUGUAAACAAGUCUGGAUGGCGCCUGGCAAAAUGCCAGAGGGAGUGGUUUGUGAAGUAAACCAGCGAGCCAUUAAGUGUGGAGAUUCCUUAUUGGUAGACUGCUGUAUCGAGUUUAUGUUAAUUAAGAUAAGCUGUGUGGAAUGUAUAAAUACCUCUGUUGUCCU